GUGCUCGCUUCUGCAGCACGUAUACUAAAAUUGGAACGAUACAGAGAAGAUUACGCGGCCCUGCGCAAGGAUGACAUGCAAAUUCGUGAAGCGUUCCACAUUAAA
RNAcentral lists this small nuclear RNA (105 nucleotides) under Castor canadensis (American beaver). Lineage: Eukaryota; Metazoa; Chordata; Mammalia; Rodentia; Castoridae. The record is from RNAcentral.